CCUACGGGACGCAGCAGUGGGGAAUAUUGGGCAAUGGGCGCAAGCCUGACCCAGCAACGCCGCGUGAAGGAAGAAGGCUUUCGGGUUGUAAACUUCUUUUCUUGGGGACGAAGAAAGUGACGGUACCCAAGGAAUAAGCCACGGCUAACUACGCGCCAGCAGCCGCGGUAAUACGUAGGUGGCAAGCGUUAUCCGGAAUGAUUGGGCGUAAAGGGUGCGUAGGCGGCCUGCUAAGUCUGGAGUGAAAGGUACCGGCUCAACCGGUACAGGCUCUGGAAACUGGCGGGCUAGAGAGCAGGAGAGGG
Molecule: ribosomal RNA, 305 nt
Filed under: uncultured bacterium
Lineage: Bacteria
Description: bacterial SSU rRNA
Rfam family: Bacterial small subunit ribosomal RNA
Source: RNAcentral